CGGCGUGUAGUUCAGCUUGAUAGAACGCUUGUUUUGGGUACAAGAGGUCGCAGGUUUGAAUCCUGCCACGCCGACCA
Molecule: transfer RNA, 77 nt
Filed under: Flavobacteriales bacterium
Lineage: Bacteria; Pseudomonadati; Bacteroidota; Flavobacteriia; Flavobacteriales
Description: tRNA-Pro
Rfam family: tRNA
About the family: Transfer RNA (tRNA) molecules are approximately 80 nucleotides in length. Their secondary structure includes four short double-helical elements and three loops (D, anti-codon, and T loops).
Source: RNAcentral